CAUUAUUGAAUUCCAAACGUAAAGGACUUGUGCUGUGCGCUUCGGCUGCACGUCUUGUCCGAUACAUUUACACCUGUGCACCUUUGACCCGCAUAUAGUCGGGUCCUUACACACACUUUAAAAAUCUUAGAAUGUUUUAUAUAUUAAAUUAUGACAACUUUCAACAACGGAUCUCUUGGCUCUCGCAUCGAUGAAGAACGCAGCGAAAUGCGAUAAGUAAUGUGAAUUGCAGAAUUCAGUGAAUCAUCGAAUCUUUGAACGCACCUUGCGCCCUUUGGUAAUCCGAGGGGCAUGCCUGUUUGAGUGUCUUGAAGCUCUCAAACGUUUAUUUACUUAAACGUUUGGAUUUGGGUGUUCUUUUGCCGGUCGCAAGAUCAGCUCACCCUAAAUGCAUUAGCUGGCUUUUGGGUCCGCGAACUCGGUGUGAUAAUUGUCACUCGCUGGGACUUCGUGACCUUAAGGAAGCUGCUUCCAAUCGUGCUCCUCGUGGGACAAUACAUCUAAGUGUUUNNCCUCAAAUCAGGUAGGGCUACCC
RNAcentral lists this ribosomal RNA (535 nucleotides) under uncultured Basidiomycota. RNAcentral describes it as "eukaryotic LSU rRNA". The stretch from base 156 to 309 matches the Rfam family "5.8S ribosomal RNA". Lineage: Eukaryota; Fungi; Basidiomycota. The record is from RNAcentral.